Molecule: long non-coding RNA, 318 nt
Organism: Tupaia belangeri chinensis (Chinese tree shrew)
Lineage: Eukaryota; Metazoa; Chordata; Mammalia; Scandentia; Tupaiidae
Exons: 3
Source: RefSeq, a predicted model, not a curated record
CUGAACCACCAUCGAACCCCAAGAGAGCAAAUGUUAUAAGAAAAGAUAAUGCUAAACAACGAGGAACAAUGCACAAAAGAAAUUUAUAAAGGUCAUACUGGAAACACAGCAGAACCUUGGCAAUGAUGAUUUUUCAAGAUUUUGUUAUACAAGGCCUAUGGACUACCAUGAAGACAUUGUACUGACCAUUUUACCACACUGGAGGAGAGCAGCAUCUCAUUUGGUCAGUGAUCUUUCUGCCAUGGAAGUUGCUUGCCAGCUCUAAAUUUGAAUUGAAUGUAUGAAAUGCCUGAUGAGAAUAUCAAUUAAAAAUAUCUA